Molecule: non-coding RNA, 145 nt
Organism: Gossypium arboreum
Lineage: Eukaryota; Viridiplantae; Streptophyta; Magnoliopsida; Malvales; Malvaceae
Source: Rfam
UUUUAAAAAAUUCAUCCUUUUGUACCAUUAAAAACUACUGCGAAUGAUAGAAUAACCAGACAAUGCCAUGUGGCAUGUCACGUGUAUCUCAUGUUGACAUACAAAGACUAAUUUUUAACAGUAAAAAUUGAUGAAAAUUUUAAUA